CGGGCUGUGGCGCAGCUUGGUAGCGCGCUUCGUUCGGGACGAAGAGGCCGCGAGUUCAAAUCUCGCCAGCCCGACCC
This 77-nucleotide transfer RNA is filed under the name Bifidobacterium pseudolongum subsp. globosum. RNAcentral's name for it is "tRNA-Pro". It matches the Rfam family "tRNA". Rfam says of the family: Transfer RNA (tRNA) molecules are approximately 80 nucleotides in length. RNAcentral also lists the same sequence under 7 other names. The record is from RNAcentral. Lineage: Bacteria; Bacillati; Actinomycetota; Actinomycetes; Bifidobacteriales; Bifidobacteriaceae.